UAUUGCGCAAUGGGCGAAAGCCUGACGCAGCGACGCCGCGUGGGGGAUGAAGGUCUUCGGAUUGUAAACCCCUUUCGGGAGGGAAGAUGGAAUGGGGUAACCCAUUCGGACGGUACCUCCAGAAGCAGCCACGGCUAACUUCGUGCCAGCAGCCGCGGUAAUACGAAGGUGGCAAGCGUUAUUCGGAUUUACUGGGCGUACAGGGAGCGUAGGCGGUUUGGUAAGCCCUCUGUGAAAUCUCCAGGCUUAACCUGGAAAAGUCGGAGGGGACUGCUGGGCUAGAGGACGGGAGAGGAGCGCGGAAUUCCCGGUGUAGCGGUGAAAUGCGUAGAGAUCGGGAGGAAGGCCGGUGGCGAAGGCGGCGCUCUGGAACGUUCUGACGCGAGGCCGA
This 391-nucleotide ribosomal RNA is filed under the name uncultured bacterium. Its description in RNAcentral is "bacterial SSU rRNA". It matches the Rfam family "Bacterial small subunit ribosomal RNA", at positions 362 to 756 of the family's 1533-position model. The record is from RNAcentral.